GAUGAACGCUGGCGGCGUGCCUAAUACAUGCAAGUCGAGCGAACGGACGAGAAGCUUGCUUCUCUGAUGUUAGCGGCGGACGGGUGAGUAACACGUGGAUAACCUACCUAUAAGACUGGGAUAACUUCGGGAAACCGGAGCUAAUACCGGAUAAUAUUUUGAACCGCAUGGUUCAAAAGUGAAAGACGGUCUUGCUGUCACUUAUAGAUGGAUCCGCGCUGCAUUAGCUAGUUGGUAAGGUAACGGCUUACCAAGGCAACGAUGCAUAGCCGACCUGAGAGGGCGAUCGGCCACACUGGAACUGAGACACGGUCCAGACUCCUACGGGAGGCAGCAGUAGGGAAUCUUCCGCAAUGGGCGAAAGCCUGACGGAGCAACGCCGCGUGAGUGAUGAAGGUCUUCGGAUCGUAAAACUCUGUUAUUAGGGAAGAACAUAUGUGUAAGUAACUGUGCACAUCUUGACGGUACCUAAUCAGAAAGCCACGGCUAACUACGUGCCAGCAGCCGCGGUAAUACGUAGGUGGCAAGCGUUAUCCGGAAUUAUUGGGCGUAAAGCGCGCGUAGGCGGUUUUUUAAGUCUGAUGUGAAAGCCCACGGCUCAACCGUGGAGGGUCAUUGGAAACUGGAAAACUUGAGUGCAGAAGAGGAAAGUGGAAUUCCAUGUGUAGCGGUGAAAUGCGCAGAGAUAUGGAGGAACACCAGUGGCGAAGGCGACUUUCUGGUCUGUAACUGACGCUGAUGUGCGAAAGCGUGGGGAUCAAACAGGAUUAGAUACCCUGGUAGUCCACGCCGUAAACGAUGAGUGCUAAGUGUUAGGGGGUUUCCGCCCCUUAGUGCUGCAGCUAACGCAUUAAGCACUCCGCCUGGGGAGUACGACCGCAAGGUUGAAACUCAAAGGAAUUGACGGGGACCCGCACAAGCGGUGGAGCAUGUGGUUUAAUUCGAAGCAACGCGAAGAACCUUACCAAAUCUUGACAUCCUUUGACAACUCUAGAGAUAGAGCUUUCCCCUUCGGGGGACAAAGUGACAGGUGGUGCAUGGUUGUCGUCAGCUCGUGUCGUGAGAUGUUGGGUUAAGUCCCGCAACGAGCGCAACCCUUAAGCUUAGUUGCCAUCAUUAAGUUGGGCACUCUAAGUUGACUGCCGGUGACAAACCGGAGGAAGGUGGGGAUGACGUCAAAUCAUCAUGCCCCUUAUGAUUUGGGCUACACACGUGCUACAAUGGACAAUACAAAGGGCAGCGAAACCGCGAGGUCAAGCAAAUCCCAUAAAGUUGUUCUCAGUUCGGAUUGUAGUCUGCAACUCGACUACAUGAAGCUGGAAUCGCUAGUAAUCGUAGAUCAGCAUGCUACGGUGAAUACGUUCCCGGGUCU
This 1372-nucleotide ribosomal RNA is filed under the name uncultured bacterium. RNAcentral's name for it is "bacterial SSU rRNA". It matches the Rfam family "Bacterial small subunit ribosomal RNA", at positions 28 to 1381 of the family's 1533-position model. The record is from RNAcentral.